RNAcentral lists this unclassified non-coding RNA (397 nucleotides) under Melitaea cinxia (Glanville fritillary). RNAcentral describes it as "misc RNA ENSMCXG00005014272.1". The record is from RNAcentral. Lineage: Eukaryota; Metazoa; Arthropoda; Insecta; Lepidoptera; Nymphalidae.
GACAAUCGCACGACCUCGUGCGUCCAUGUCAUGCAUCCGCCAACUCGGCGUUACUACUCCCGACCUAUACAACACUAACGGGUGACAUUAAUAACUGUUCGGCUAUUCCUGACCAAAACGCUGAGACCAUAAUUCACUAGCGGGACGGGCGUACUGGGCCCCUUCAUCACUUCUAGACAUAGCGUGGUCCGGGCGUACGUGGCCCCUUCAACCAGCUUACCAACCGUGGGUCGGGCGUGCUAGGCCCCUUCGCCCCUUCUCUAUAGCGUGGCCCGGGCGUACAAGGCCCCUUCAACCAGCUACCCAUGGCCCGGGCGUACAAGGCCCUUUCAACCCUUUACAUAGACGUCGCUCGGGCGUACUAGGCUCAUCCCACUUCUGAUGUAGUCUUUCGACU